Non-coding RNA from Trabulsiella guamensis ATCC 49490, 364 nucleotides. The record is from Rfam. Lineage: Bacteria; Pseudomonadati; Pseudomonadota; Gammaproteobacteria; Enterobacterales; Enterobacteriaceae.
GGGGCUGAUUCUGGAUUCGACGGGAUUCGCGAAACCCAAGGUGCAUGCCGAGGGGCGGUUGGCCUCGUAAAAAGCCGCAAAAAAAUAGUCGCAAACGACGAAAACUACGCUUUAGCAGCUUAAUAACCUGCUCAGAGCCCUCUCUCCCUAGCCUCCGCUCUUAGGACGGGGAUCAAGAGAGGUCAAACCUAAAAGAGAUCGCGUGGAUGCCCUGCCUGGGGUUGAAGCGUUAAAACUAAUCAGGCUAGUUUGUUAGUGGCGUGUCCGUUCGCAGCUGGCAAGCGAAUGUAAAGACUGGACUAAGCAUGUAGUACCGAGGAUGUAGGAAUUUCGGACGCGGGUUCAACUCCCGCCAGCUCCACCA